Molecule: ribosomal RNA, 253 nt
Filed under: uncultured bacterium
Lineage: Bacteria
Description: partial 16S ribosomal RNA
Rfam family: Bacterial small subunit ribosomal RNA
Source: RNAcentral
UACGGGGGGGGCAAGCGUUGAUCGGAAUUACUGGGCGUAAAGGGUUCGUAGGUGGCCUGCUAAGUCGGACGUGAAAUCCCUCGGCUCAACCGGGGAACUGCGUCCGAUACUGGUGGGCUCGAGUGCAGGAGAGGAACGCGGAAUUCCAGGUGUAGCGGUGAAAUGCGUAGAUAUCUGGAGGAACACCGGUGGCGAAGGCGGCAUCCUGGACCAAUUCUGACGCUGAGGAGCGAAAGCCAGGGGAGCAAACGGG